UACGAAGGGUGCAAGCGUUACUCGGAAUUACCGGGCGUAAAGCGUGCGUAGGUGGUUCGUUAAGUCUGAUGUGAAAGCCCUGGGCUCAACCUGGGAAUGGCAUUGGAAACUGGCGACCUAGAGUGCGGUAGAGGGUAGUGGAAUUCCCGGUGUAGCAGUGAAAUGCGUAGAGAUCGGGAGGAACAUCCGUGGCGAAGGCGACUACCUGGACCAGCACUGACACUGAGGCACGAAAGCGUGGGGGGCAAACAGG
Molecule: ribosomal RNA, 253 nt
Filed under: uncultured bacterium
Lineage: Bacteria
Description: partial 16S ribosomal RNA
Rfam family: Bacterial small subunit ribosomal RNA
Source: RNAcentral